GAGUCUGAUGGAGCACGCCGCGUGAGUGAAGAAGGGUUUCGGCUCGUAAAACUCUGUUGUUAAAGAAGAACAUAUCUGAGAGUAACUGUUCAGGUAUUGACGGUAUUUAACCAGAAAGCCACGGCUAACUACGUGCCAGCAGCCGCGGUAAUACGUAGGUGGCAAGCGUUGUCCGGAUUUAUUGGGCGUAAAGCGAGCGCAGGCGGUUUUUUAAGUCUGAUGUGAAAGCCUUCGGCUCAACCGAAGAAGUGCAUCGGAAACUGGGAAACUUGAGUGCAGAAGAGGACAGUGGAACUCCAUGUGUAGCGGUGAAAUGCGUAGAUAUAUGGAAGAACACCAGUGGCGAAGGCGGCUGUCUGGUCUGUAACUGACGCUGAGGCUCGAAAGUAUGGGUAGCAAACAGGAUUAGAUACCCUGGUAGUCCAUACCGUAAACGAUGAAUGCUAAGUGUUGGAGGGUUUCCGCCCUUCAGUGCUGCAGCUAACGCAUUAAGCAUUCCGCCUGGGGAGUACGGCCGCAAGGCUGAAACUCAAAGGAAUUGACGGGGGCCCGCACAAGCGGUGGAGCAUGUGGUUUAAUUCGAAGCUACGCGAAGAACCUUACCAGGUCUUGACAUACUAUGCAAAUCUAAGAGAUUAGACGUUCCCUUCGGGGACAUGGAUACAGGUGGUGCAUGGUUGUCGUCAGCUCGUGUCGUGAGAUGUUGGGUUAAGUCCCGCAACGAGCGCAACCCUUAUUAUCAGUUGCCAGCAUUAAGUUGGGCACUCUGGUGAGACUGCCGGUGACAAACCGGAGGAAGGUGGGGAUGACGUCAAAUCAUCAUGCCCCUUAUGACCUGGGGCUACACACGUGCUACAAUGGAUGGUACAACGAGUUGCGGAACUCGCGAGAGUAAGCUCAA
This 901-nucleotide ribosomal RNA is filed under the name Lactiplantibacillus plantarum. Its description in RNAcentral is "bacterial SSU rRNA". It matches the Rfam family "Bacterial small subunit ribosomal RNA", at positions 379 to 1272 of the family's 1533-position model. Lineage: Bacteria; Bacillati; Bacillota; Bacilli; Lactobacillales; Lactobacillaceae. The record is from RNAcentral.